Molecule: ribosomal RNA, 486 nt
Filed under: uncultured bacterium
Lineage: Bacteria
Description: partial 16S ribosomal RNA
Rfam family: Bacterial small subunit ribosomal RNA
Source: RNAcentral
GAUGAACGCUGGCGGCGUGCUUAACACAUGCAGGUCGAACGGAAGGGCCCCAGCUUGCUGGGGUACUCGAGUGGCGAACGGGUGAGUAACACGUGGGUGAUCUGCCCUGCACUUUGGGAUAAGCUUGGGAAACUGGGUCUAAUACCGAAUAUGACCACUUCUUGGAUGUUGUGGUGGAAAGCUUUUGCGGUGUGGGAUGAGCCUGCGGCCUAUCAGCUUGUUGGUGGGGUAAUGGCCUACCAAGGCGGCGACGGGUAUCCGGCCUGAGAGGGUGUACGGACACAUUGGGACUGAGAUACGGCCCAGACUCCUACGGGAGGCAGCAGUGGGGAAUAUUGCACAAUGGGCGCAAGCCUGAUGCGGCGACGCCGCGUGGGGGAUGAAGGCCUUCGGGUUGUAAACUCCUUUCGCUAUCGACGAAGCCACUUGUGGUGACGGUAGGUAGAUAAGAAGCACCGGCUAACUACGUGCCAGCCGCCGCAGUAA